Molecule: long non-coding RNA, 805 nt
Filed under: Anser brachyrhynchus (Pink-footed goose)
Lineage: Eukaryota; Metazoa; Chordata; Aves; Anseriformes; Anatidae
Description: lncRNA (ENSABRG00000017542.1)
Source: RNAcentral
AGCUGAUCGAGGUGGUGGCCUUUCAUUCCCCACACCAUAAAGCCCUUCAUCCCUCAGGUCCUGUUUCUUGGGAUUUCUUCAUCUCAAGGAGAGCAGCUGAAGACAUUUGCUCAAAUCUGCCUUGCUUAAUCCCUGUUUGGCACAACUGAGAUAUCCAGUGACAUUUCCACCUCCCUGCAGAACUGGAAUGCUAAAGAUCUGGAUGGCUGGACUCAUACAGGAGGUGAUAUAUAAAUAAAUCUGAGAACUGGAGAUGAUGAUGCCAGACAGAAUAUUAAUAAAAUCUCCUUACUCCUGCUUCUACCAUAUCUCUGGAGGUAAAGAAGAGAAUUUAGCUGCGUACCAGUUGCACACAAACUACUCCCUACUGCCAAAUGUUACAGACAAGAAGUUGCCAGGAAAGCAGUGCAUCUCAAGAAUGGCGGACAGCGCUGAAGUUGUGCAUCACAUCUUGUAGGUGUUCAGAUAUGGAAUUUAUUGUCCACAAAUAUUUUCUCAGUCACAUUUCUUAUUGAUAAAAUCUCAUGCAAAUGAAUAUCAAAGGGGCAUAUUCUGGCAAAAAGUAAUACAAAGAACAUGUGGGUGAAACUUCUUUAAACGUGUUUCUCUUUCAUUUCAAGAUUGAGUAGAGGUUUCUCUGUGCUUGAGCAUUUGUUACCCCUUAAAUUUAUAACACCCCCACAUCUCCUACUGUUCCUGGAGAGUGUGUCAACCUUUAAAUGAAUAAUUUAGAGCUAACUUAACUUUCCUGAGAACCGGUCUAAUGAAUAGAUGUAAAUGAUGCCCACUAGUUAUCACAUUCCAG